GUGGGGAAUCUUGCGCAAUGGGCGAAAGCCUGACGCAGCCAUGCCGCGUGAAUGAUGACGGUCUUAGGAUUGUAAAAUUCUUUCACCGGGGACGAUAAUGACGGUACCCGGAGAAGAAGCCCCGGCUAACUUCGUGCCAGCAGCCGCGGUAAUACGAAGGGGGCUAGCGUUGCUCGGAAUUACUGGGCGUAAAGGGCGCGUAGGCGGACAGUUUAGUCAGAGGUGAAAGCCCAGGGCUCAACCUUGGAAUUGCCUUUGAUACUGGCUGUCUUGAGUACGGGAGAGGUGAGUGGAACUCCGAGUGUAGAGGUGAAAUUCGUAGAUAUUCGGAAGAACACCAGUGGCGAAGGCGACUCACUGGCCCGUUACUGACGCUGAGGCGCGAAAGCGUGGGGAGCAAACAGGAUUAGAUACCCGUGUAGUCC
RNAcentral lists this ribosomal RNA (425 nucleotides) under uncultured bacterium. RNAcentral describes it as "partial 16S ribosomal RNA". It matches the Rfam family "Bacterial small subunit ribosomal RNA", at positions 354 to 796 of the family's 1533-position model. The record is from RNAcentral.